AAAAAUAAAAGGCAAUUCAAUCGAAAGGUUGUUACGCAAAAGUCUGAAUCUACGGGGGUACCCUAUGAUUGUCAGCUUGCCUCA
This 84-nucleotide non-coding RNA is filed under the name Halanaerobium hydrogeniformans. RNAcentral describes it as "c-di-GMP sequence". It matches the Rfam family "c-di-GMP-I riboswitch aptamer". From Rfam's summary of the family: GEMM was predicted in a large-scale screen for bacterial structured RNA regulatory elements. Genes associated with GEMM are involved in a diverse array of functions, including chemotaxis regulation, signal transduction, secretion and chitin. Lineage: Bacteria; Bacillati; Bacillota; Clostridia; Halanaerobiales; Halanaerobiaceae. The record is from Rfam by way of RNAcentral.